Molecule: non-coding RNA, 111 nt
Organism: Poronia punctata
Lineage: Eukaryota; Fungi; Ascomycota; Sordariomycetes; Xylariales; Xylariaceae
Source: the annotation of a GenBank genome assembly
GGCAUGUUGCCAGAGUGGUUAAUGGGUGAGACUUGAAUUCAGUUAUUUAGGUACUAAGAAUUAAGCCAUCUCAUGACUUCGGUCGCGUAGGUUCAAAUCCUGCACAUGUCG